AUUUAAGCGAGUGCGGCUGUAGUUCGUGUUUGGAUCCGUGAAAUCCACGUGUGUUUUUUUUAAACAGUGUGUAAACGGUCUGUAAGAGGUUUGUUCCGAUACAACCGGAAGUCGUCUUAAUCCACCACCACCAUUUUUUUAAUAGACCCCGUAUAUUUUAUUUAUUUGCCUUUCCUUAACCCCAUUGCUUCCCAAUAAAAAAUAUUAAUGCAA
Puntigrus tetrazona (Sumatra barb) is the source of this 213-nucleotide long non-coding RNA. RefSeq lists it as uncharacterized. Lineage: Eukaryota; Metazoa; Chordata; Actinopteri; Cypriniformes; Cyprinidae. The record is from RefSeq and is a predicted model, not a curated record. The transcript has 2 exons.